GCCGCCGUGGCUCAGUCGGUAGAGCGACAGCCUGUUAAGUUGUAGCUCGUGACACUCCGUGACGGGCGACUUGUGGUCAGAGGUUCGAGGUACUGCUCGACUUCCGAGUGGUCCGAGAGCCCUCUCGGCGGCGCCA
RNAcentral lists this transfer RNA (136 nucleotides) under Candidatus Thorarchaeota archaeon. RNAcentral describes it as "tRNA-Asn". It matches the Rfam family "tRNA". From Rfam's summary of the family: Transfer RNA (tRNA) molecules are approximately 80 nucleotides in length. Their secondary structure includes four short double-helical elements and three loops (D, anti-codon, and T loops). Further hydrogen bonds mediate the characteristic L-shaped molecular structure. tRNAs have two regions of fundamental functional importance: the anti-codon, which is responsible for specific mRNA codon recognition, and the 3' end, to which the tRNAs corresponding amino acid is attached (by aminoacyl-tRNA synthetases). tRNAs cope with the degeneracy of the genetic code in two manners: having more than one tRNA (with a specific anti-codon) for a particular amino acid; and 'wobble' base-pairing, i.e. permitting non-standard base-pairing at the 3rd anti-codon position. Lineage: Archaea; Promethearchaeati; Candidatus Thorarchaeota. The record is from RNAcentral.